UGGGGAAUUUUGGACAAUGGGCGAAAGCCUGAUCCAGCAAUGCCGCGUGUGUGAAGAAGGCCUUCGGGUUGUAAAGCACUUUUGUCCGGAAAGAAAUCCUUGGCCCUAAUACAGUCGGGGAUGACGGUACCGGAAGAAUAAGCACCGGCUAACUACGUGCCAGCAGCCGCGGUAAUACGUAGGGUGCAAGCGUUAAUCGGAAUUACUGGGCGUAAAGCGUGCGCAGGCGGUUUGCUAAGACCGAUGUGAAAUCCCCGGGCUCAACCUGGGAACUGGCAUUGGUGACUGGCAGGCUAGAGUAUGGCAGAGGGGGGUAGAAUUCCACGUGUAGCAGUGAAAUGCGUAGAGAUGUGGAGGAAUACCGAUGGCGAAGGCAGCCCCCUGGGCCAAUACUGACGCUCAUGCACGAAAGCGUGGGGAGCAAACAGGAUUAGAUACCCUGGUAGUCCACGCCCUAAACGAUGUCAACUAGUUGUUGGGGAUUCAUUUUCCUUAGUAACGUAGCUAACGCGUGAAGUUGACCGCCUGGGGAGUACGGUCGCAAGAUUAAAACUCAAAUGAAUUGACGGGGUCAUAGCUGUUUCCU
RNAcentral lists this ribosomal RNA (586 nucleotides) under uncultured bacterium. Its description in RNAcentral is "partial 16S ribosomal RNA". It matches the Rfam family "Bacterial small subunit ribosomal RNA", at positions 355 to 1375 of the family's 1533-position model. The record is from RNAcentral.